GUGCCAGCAGCCGCGGUAAUACGUAGGGGCCGAGCGUUGUCCGGAUUUAUUGGGCGUAAAGAGCGUGUAGGCGGCCGCUUAAGUCCUGCGUGAAAUCUCGGAGCUCAACUCCGAGCGGUCGUGGGAAACUGGGCGGCUAGAGUGCGGGAGAGGAGAGUGGAAUUCCUGGUGUAGCGGUGGAAUGCGCAGAUAUCAGGAAGAACACCCGUGGCGAAGGCGGCUCUCUGGAACGCAACUGACGCUGAGACGCGAAAGCGUGGGGAGCAAACAGGAUUAGAUACCCUGGUAGUCC
RNAcentral lists this ribosomal RNA (292 nucleotides) under uncultured bacterium. RNAcentral describes it as "partial 16S ribosomal RNA". It matches the Rfam family "Bacterial small subunit ribosomal RNA", at positions 505 to 796 of the family's 1533-position model. The record is from RNAcentral.